RNAcentral lists this ribosomal RNA (430 nucleotides) under bacterium. RNAcentral describes it as "bacterial SSU rRNA". It matches the Rfam family "Bacterial small subunit ribosomal RNA", at positions 354 to 776 of the family's 1533-position model. RNAcentral also lists the same sequence under 1 other name. The record is from RNAcentral.
GUGGGGAAUUUUGGACAAUGGGCGCAAGCCUGAUCCAGCUAUUCCGCGUGUGGGAUGAAGGCCCUCGGGUUGUAAACCACUUUUGUAGAGAACGAAAAGACACCUUCGAAUAAAGGGUGUUGCUGACGGUACUCUAAGAAUAAGCACCGGCUAACUACGUGCCAGCAGCCGCGGUAAUACGUAGGGUGCGAGCGUUAAUCGGAAUUACUGGGCGUAAAGGGUGCGCAGGCGGUUGAGUAAGACAGAUGUGAAAUCCCCGAGCUUAACUCGGGAAUGGCAUAUGUGACUGCUCGACUAGAGUGUGUCAGAGGGAGGUGGAAUUCCACGUGUAGCAGUGAAAUGCGUAGAUAUGUGGAAGAACACCGAUGGCGAAGGCAGCCUCCUGGGACAUAACUGACGCUCAGGCACGAAAGCGUGGGGAGCAAACAGG